UCAUCAAGAUCAAGAUAUGAUAUCAUAAAUCUCCAAAACUUACAUUUUAAUAAACUACUUGAUG
This 64-nucleotide transfer RNA is filed under the name Japanagallia sp. RNAcentral describes it as "tRNA-Pro". The record is from RNAcentral. Lineage: Eukaryota; Metazoa; Arthropoda; Insecta; Hemiptera; Cicadellidae.